UCAUACUGAAAAAGGUGGUAUAAUAAUGUCAAAAGACCAAAAUAUUUCUAUAAUUUUUAGUAAUUACAUGUUUUAACCUUUUCAUUCCGUAACUCUCUCCCGUUUCUCUCUCCUCCCUUUAAUGGUGUGUUUAGAUGCAGAGCAUGUAGCUCCCUUAUCUACCUGCAUACAACCCAGAUUUUUCUACCCCCUUCAAUAGCUUAGAAAACCCAAAUAAAUCUACCCAUCACUGCCUUCAAAUUCACCAUUGUUAUUUAUGAUAUCUACCUUUGUUCUGAUAGCUAGUUAUUUAUCAUUAAUAUAUGCUGUUUUUUUUUUCUUUUUUGUUCUUUCACCGGAUACAGGGUAUAUUCCUGUAGCAUCUUCAGGAGCUUCUCCUCCUUUGGUGUUUUGAAAGUAUGGUAAUUUCUAACUAAUCUUUUGUGAUUUUUUUUUCAUAAUUUCUUCUUUCAGAUUUUUGAACGUAGAGAGAGAGUCCAGCAAGAACCUAUUAUAAUACCUUUGAGAAAUUAGCUCUCAAUUACGAGAUAUCCAAUAAUUCAAACCAAGAAAAUCUUAUCUUAUUUGAAGAUUGAUUUUUAUAUUCCUUCACUCAACAACUCAGGAAAAGUCUCCUACUAAUCCGAUUUUGUAGUAUUCUUUUCAAAUUUGAUUUUUACAACACACUUAUCACUCUAUAAUCUAGUUUCCUUAUUAGUACAACCUCCCUAGGAACAUCCAAAACUACCAGAUAGAUUCUAAUCAAUUUCCAUCCUACUAAAACACUGUCUCUCCUCGUACGCUAGUUAUUUAUAACACCCACAGGCCACUAUCUCUAUGCUUCUCAAUGUGUGUGGUGUGGAGUGUGAAUGCAUUUGGUGGUACUGCUAUUUGUGAAAGUUGAGUUCUAAUCUUCCAUUCGCAUUGGGCAUCAUCACUGGAAGGGUUAGUUGGACUUUAGGUAUGAUGUAAUUGAUAUUAUUUUUCAUUUAUUUGUUAUUUUUUAGAAGACUUGUAUUAAGAUUUUCUGUUUUGUAUUGAUAAUAUAUCAUUUAUUUGUGUUGAGAGUAUGUAUUUUUUGUAUUGAGAAUAUGUUUUUUUAUGCAUUGAGAAGGUGAACUCCUCUUUUUAGCUAGUCGAGUCUCUUAUGAUUUUGUAUCUUUAAUUUCUAGUAUAAGCAUAGAACCUAUUAACUAAACUAGUUAAGGAUAGAGGCAGAAUACAAACAGAGGAUAGGUCAUAAUUUCUCCCAAGUCUAAACUAGUAACUAAACUAAUACUAUUUCUUUUUCGUACAAUAUUGCCUUCUCCAGUUUUGGCGCAUUAGCAUUUCAUAAUUGCCUAAAAAUGAUGAUAUAAUAGAAUAUGCAGUCAUUAGAUUACAAUAUCAUCUGAAAUAGAGAGAUCCUAUUGGUUGCUAGCAAGUACAAGUAUGAAAUAUAUUUAAGUUAACCAUGCUCAUUUCAACUCAUGAAUAAAGAAUCCAAUCAAUGGUGGCUUAUCAGUACCAAAAAUACAAAGAAAAAAAAAAUAGCAGCACAAUAAUCACUCAGGUAGAUAAUUACCUGAAGUAGUGAACAAAGCAGUGAAAAAAAAAUGGAAGAGUCAUUUUAGUUGAGGAUGAUUCACAUUCUACAAGAAGUAGUGAACAAAGCAUGUCAAAUCAACUUUUUAUGUUGUUGUAAUGUGAAAUUUAAUUGGGCAAUUAAUUAUGAUGAUUCUACUCGAGAGAUCUAAUAAUAUAUAUUAAAACCUUUUGUUUCAAUCACGCCUAGCAAGACAUUAAUAGAGGUGCUCAGGAAACAUGAGUGCUAAGGAAACAUGAGUGCUUGUGGAUUUUUCAUUAUAGUUGACUUUUGAGUUUCUUAUGCAUUACUUAAAUUCUCACUUGUCAGCUCAUUCUUUUGUACUUCCAUGUCUUUCUAGUUCUUCAAUUUCUUCAAUAGUUUAUUUUAAUAAAUGUUGGGUUUCCUUUGCAAUUACGUUUGAUUUAUUUUCUAUUAUGAUUAUGUAAAGAUUAAAACCUUUGUUGUAUCAAAUUUGUAAACUUACUUCUAUACUUUUCAGCAUAUAACAAACAUGCCUAACAAAAAUCAAAAUAAUGUUGUUGCUGCUACACAAAUGCAAGAUAGCUAGACAACUAGAUUAAUUUGGACAGAUAAAAUGCUAGAGGAUUAUGUAGACAUAUGCGUUAGUAGGAUUUAUGCUGGUAACCGUCCAUGGACCCAUUUUAAUAAGGUGGGGUGGAAAAAUGUGGUUAAUAAGUUUAGCGAGAAAAUUGGUAAAGAAUUUAACUACAAACAACUUAAGAACAAGUGGGAUAGUUUAAAAAAGGAUUGGAACAUUUAAACGAAAUUAGUUGGAAAAGAAACUGGCCUUGGAUGGGAUCCGGUGAAGAAGACUGUUGAUGCUACAUAUGAGUGGUGGGCAAAAAAAUUACAGACAUGAAGAAUAAUGGUCACGAUACUGAACAUUACAUGAGCAAUGCUGAUAAUGGUGAAGAAGAAAAAGAGGAUGAUAUUGACUUUGUGAUAGCAUUCCAAUUAAUGGUGGCUUCUAAAUAUUACACAACAUAUAUUGUAAAGGAACCUUGUAGGACCUCUUUACAUAUAGGUCAUAAGUUUGUUAUGGAGAUUCUAAAUGGUCAUCAUGAUAGAUGUCAUCAACAAUUUAGGAUGGAAAAAUAUGUAUUUCAUGCUUUAUGCAAAGAGUUGAAUGAAAGAUAUAACUUAACU
Carya illinoinensis is the source of this 2713-nucleotide long non-coding RNA. RefSeq lists it as uncharacterized. The record is from RefSeq and is a predicted model, not a curated record. The transcript has 2 exons. Lineage: Eukaryota; Viridiplantae; Streptophyta; Magnoliopsida; Fagales; Juglandaceae.